UACAGAGGUGGCAAGCGUUGUUCGGAAUUACUGGGCGUAAAGGGCGCGUAGGCGGCCAUCUAAGUCAGACGUGAAAUCCCCCGGCUUAACCUGGGAACUGCGUCUGGUACUGGAAGGCUUGAGUAUGGGAGAGGGAUGUAGAAUUCCAGGUGUAGCGGUGAAAUGCGUAGAUAUCUGGAGGAAUACCGGUGGCGAAGGCGGCAUCCUGGACCAUUACUGACGCUGAGGCGCGAAAGCUAGGGGAGCAAACGGG
RNAcentral lists this ribosomal RNA (253 nucleotides) under uncultured bacterium. Its description in RNAcentral is "partial 16S ribosomal RNA". It matches the Rfam family "Bacterial small subunit ribosomal RNA", at positions 524 to 776 of the family's 1533-position model. The record is from RNAcentral.